This 312-nucleotide ribosomal RNA is filed under the name uncultured Megasphaera sp. RNAcentral describes it as "bacterial SSU rRNA". It matches the Rfam family "Bacterial small subunit ribosomal RNA", at positions 223 to 525 of the family's 1533-position model. Lineage: Bacteria; Bacillati; Bacillota; Negativicutes; Veillonellales; Veillonellaceae. The record is from RNAcentral.
GGGGGUUUUUGCGUCUGAUUAGCUGGUUGGAGGGGUAACGGCCCAACAAGGCGAUGAUCAGUAGCCGGUCUGAGAGGAUGAACGGCCACAUUGGGACUGAGACACGGCCCAGACUCCUACGGGAGGCAGCAGUGGGGAAUCUUCCGCAAUGGACGAAAGUCUGACGGAGCAACGCCGCGUGAGUGAAGAAGGUCUUCGGAUUGUAAAGCUCUGUUAUACGGGACGAAAAAGACGGAUGCCAACAGUAUCCGUCCGUGACGGUACCGUAAGAGAAAGCCACGGGCUAACUACGUGCCAGCAGCCGCGGUAAAU